RNAcentral lists this ribosomal RNA (433 nucleotides) under uncultured bacterium. Its description in RNAcentral is "partial 16S ribosomal RNA". It matches the Rfam family "Bacterial small subunit ribosomal RNA", at positions 29 to 507 of the family's 1533-position model. The record is from RNAcentral.
AACGAACGCUGGCGGCAGGCCUAACACAUGCAAGUCGAGCGGACCCUUCGGGGUUAGCGGCGGACGGGUGAGUAACGCGUGGGAAUAUGCCCUUCUCUACGGAAUAGUCCUGGGAAACUGGGGGUAAUACCGUAUACGCCCUUCGGGGGAAAGAUUUAUCGGGGAAGGAUUAGCCCGCGUUGGAUUAGGUAGUUGGUGGGGUAAUGGCCUACCAAGCCGACGAUCCAUAGCUGGUUUGAGAGGAUGAUCAGCCACACUGGGACUGAGACACGGCCCAGACUCCUACGGGAGGCAGCAGUGGGGAAUCUUAGACAAUGGGGGCAACCCUGAUCUAGCCAUGCCGCGUGAGUGAUGAAGGCCUUAGGGUUGUAAAGCUCUUUCAGCUGGGAAGAUAAUGACGGUACCAGCAGAAGAAGCCCCGGCUAACUCCGUG